AAGGAAUAUUGGUCAAUGGACGCAAGUCUGAACCAGCCAUGCCGCGUGGAGGAUGAAGGUCCUCUGGAUUGUAAACUUCUUUUAUCUGGGACGAAACACUUCUUUUCUAAGAGGCCUGACGGUACCAGAUGAAUAAGCACCGGCUAACUCCGUGCCAGCAGCCGCGGUAAUACGGAGGGUGCAAGCGUUAUCCGGAUUCACUGGGUUUAAAGGGUGCGUAGGUGGGUAUGCAAGUCAGUGGUGAAAUCCCCGAGCUUAACUUGGGAACUGCCAUUGAUACUAUAUAUCUUGAAUACCGUAGAGGUAAGCGGAAUAUGUCAUGUAGCGGUGAAAUGCUUAGAUAUGACAUGGAACACCAAUUGCGAAGGCAGCUUACUAUGCGGUGAUUGACACUGAGGCACGAAAGCGUGGGUAGCAAACA
RNAcentral lists this ribosomal RNA (421 nucleotides) under uncultured bacterium. RNAcentral's name for it is "bacterial SSU rRNA". It matches the Rfam family "Bacterial small subunit ribosomal RNA", at positions 356 to 774 of the family's 1533-position model. The record is from RNAcentral.